RNAcentral lists this ribosomal RNA (1544 nucleotides) under Egretta garzetta (little egret). Its description in RNAcentral is "Bacterial large subunit ribosomal RNA". It matches the Rfam family "Bacterial large subunit ribosomal RNA", at positions 506 to 2925 of the family's 2925-position model. Lineage: Eukaryota; Metazoa; Chordata; Aves; Pelecaniformes; Ardeidae. The record is from Rfam by way of RNAcentral.
AGGGAAAGAUGAAAUAAUAAUGAAAACACAAGCAAUAAACAGCAAAGAUAAACCCUUGUACCUUUUGCAUCAUGAUUUAGCAAGAACAACCAAGCAAAACGAACUUAAGCUUGCCCCCCCGAAACCCAAGCGAGCUACUUACAGGCAGCUAUUCUGAGCGAACCCGUCUCUGUUGCAAAAGAGUGGGAUGACCUGUUAGUAGAGGUGAAAAGCCAACCGAGCUGGGUGAUAGCUGGUUGCCCGUGAAAUGAAUCUAAGUUCUACCUUAACCUUCUCCCCAUCAAUGAACUUCAACCAAUCACCCCUUAACGUGGAAAGUUAAGAGCAAUUUAAAGGAGGUACAGCCCCUUUAAAAAAGGAUACAACCUCCCCUAGCGGAUAAAUCUUCCCCAACCUGCAACCCUGUAGGCCUUAAAGCAGCCAUCAACAAAGAAUGCGUCAAAGCUCACUACCCAAAAGAUCCAGAAACCUCAUGACUCCCUUACCCCUAACGGGCUAACCUAUACCUAUAGGAGAAUUAAUGCUAAAAUAAGUAACUUGGAGCUCCUCUCCUCUCAAGCGCAAACUUACAUUUUUCCCCAAUUAUUAACAGACCAACUAAUACUGCAAUUCUAACAAGCCCAAAUAUUAACCUUACCCUGUUACCCCAACAUUGGAGCGCCCAUUAAGAAAGAUUAAAAUCUGUAGAAGGAACUAGGCAAACCCAGGGCCCGACUGUUUACCAAAAACAUAGCCUUCAGCCGACCAAGUAUUGAAGGUGAUGCCUGCCCAGUGACAUACGUUCAACGGCCGCGGUAUCCUAACCGUGCGAAGGUAGCGCAAUCAAUUGUCCCAUAAAUCGAGACUUGUAUGAAUGGCUAAACGAGGUCCUAACUGUCUCCCACAGAUAAUCAGUGAAAUUGAUCCCCUUGUGCAAAAGCAAGAAUAACCACAUAAGACGAGAAGACCCUGUGGAACUUUAAAAUCAUCGGCCACUCCACAAACAACCCUAAACCUACUAGGACCACCACUCUCAAAUACUGGCCCACAUUUUUCGGUUGGGGCGACCUUGGAGAAAAACAAAUCCUCCAAAAACAAGACCACACCUCUUAACCUAGAGCAACACCUCCACGUGCUAACAGCAACCAGACCCAAUACAAUUGAUUAAUGAACCAAGCUACCCCAGGGAUAACAGCGCAAUCUCCUUCAAGAGCCCAUAUCGACAAGGAGGUUUACGACCUCGAUGUUGGAUCAGGACAUCCUAAUGGUGCAGCCGCUAUUAAGGGUUCGUUUGUUCAACGAUUAACAGUCCUACGUGAUCUGAGUUCAGACCGGAGCAAUCCAGGUCGGUUUCUAUCUAUGACGAACUUCCCCCAGUACGAAAGGACCGGGAAAGUGAGGCCAAUGCCACAAGUACGCCUCCCCCAUAAGUAAUGAACCCAACUAAAUUACCAAGAGGACGCCCUAACCCCCAUGCCCUAGAUAAGGGCCAAGCUAGUGUGGCAGAGCUCGGUAAAUGCAAAAGGCUUAAGCCCUUUACUCAGAGGUUCAAAUCCUCUCCCUAG